The sequence is a non-coding RNA, 350 nucleotides long. It matches the Rfam family "transfer-messenger RNA". From Rfam's summary of the family: Bacterial tmRNA, also known as 10Sa RNA or SsrA, is named for its dual tRNA and mRNA-like properties. Its role is to liberate the mRNA from a stalled ribosome. The record is from Rfam.
GGGGGCGAAAUGGCUUCGACGGGGGAUGCGAUGGCAAGAGGAGCGAGCCGGGAUCUCACCAGCCCGUUAAACGGUGAACACUAAUAAUUGCUAACGAAGAAUACGCUUUAGCAGCUUAAUUGCUGUCUAACCUCCUACCUUCUGCGCCCGCGGUGAAGGAUAGGGGGUCAACUUAGCGGGACGCUCUAUAGCCUGAUGUUCGGAGGGCUAUAGCUAAGACUACCGGACUAGCAACCGAGGAGGCUGUCUAUGGCCGCCAAGGAAGCGAAAUCUAAAGCAUAGUCUACGCUCGUAGAGCCUGUUGUGGUUGCUCUUUCGGACGGUGGGUUCAACUCCCCCCGCCUCCACCA